AUGCAUUUUUAUCCCACUUCCCCAUUUUUUCCGGUUUUCCCCCUUUUUCCUUUUUCCCCCACUUUUCCCCCUUUUUUCCUCUUCCCGUUUUCCCUUUUUUUCCUAUUUUUGCCCAUUCUUUCCUUUUUCCCCAUAUCUUUCCCAUUUUUCCCUGUUUUAUCCCCAUUUUUUCCUUUUCUUACCCAUUUUUGUCCUUUUCCCACAUUUUUUCCUGUUUUCCACCUUUUUCCUUUUCCUCCCAUUUCCCCCCGUUUUUUCCUCUUCCCAUUUUUCCUUUUUUUCCAUUUUUGCCAAUUUUUUCCUUUUGUUAUCCAAUUUUAUCCUUUUUCUCCAUUUUUCCCUUUUUCUUCCCAUUUUUCCUUUUCUUUCAAUUUUUUCCCAUUCUUUCCUUUUUUCCUCGUUUUUUUCCCAAUUUUUCCCAUUUGUUCCCUUUUUCCUGGUUUUCCCAUUCCCUUUUCUCCAUUUUUCCCUUUUUCCCCUAUUUUUUCCCUUUUUUCCUCUUCCCAUUUCUUUUUCUUUCCUUUUCUUUCAAUUUUUUUCUCAUUCUUUCCUUUUUUGUUUUUUUUUUCCCAAUUUUUCCCAUUUGUUCCCUUUUUCCUGGUUUUCCCAUUUUUUCCUUCCCAUUUUCCCCUUUUCCCCCAUUUUUUCCCUUUUUUUCCUUUUCCUAUUUUUCCUUUUCUCCAUUUUCCCCCAUUUUAUCCCCAUUUUUUCCUUUUCUUACCCAAUUUUAUCCCUUUUCCCCAUUUUUCCCCAUUUUCCCCUAUUUUUUCCCUUUUUCCUCUUUUCCCAUUUUUCCUUUUCUUUCAAUUUUUUCCCUUUUUCCCCAGUUUUUCCCAUUUGUUCCCUCUUUCCUGGUUUUCCCAUUUUUUUCUUCCCCAUUCUUCCCUUUUCCCCCAUUUUUUCCCUUUUUCCCCCAUUUUUCCCUUUUCCUUUUCCCAUUUUUACUUCUCUCCCCCAUUUUUCCCCAUUUUUUCUUUUCCUACCCAAUUUUAUCCCUUCUCCCGAUUUUCCCCAUUUUUUUCCCCUUUUUCCCCUUCCCAUUUUUCCUUUUCUUUCCAUUUUUGCUCAUUCUUUCCUUUUAUUGUUUUUUUUCCAAUUUUUCCCAUUUGUUUCUUUUUUCCUGGUUUUCCCAUUUUUUUUCCUUCCCUUUUCCUUUUUUUUUUCAAUUUUUCCUUUCCUUUUUCCCUUUUCCUUUUCUUAUUUUCCCUUUUCCUUUUUUCCUCUAUUUUUCCUUUUUCCCCCUUCUUUCCUUUUCCUUUUCCCUUUCUUUCCUUUUUCCCUUUUUCCUUUUCCCUUUUUUCAUUUUUUUCCAUUUUUUUCCUUUAUUCUUUUUUCUUUUCCCUUGUCCUUUUUUCGCUUUUCCUUUUUCCUUUCUUUUUCCCUUUUCCCCUUUUCCUUUUCCUUUCCCUUUCCCCUUUUCCCCCUUCCAUUUCCCCCCCUUUUCCCUUUCCCUUUCCCCCUUUUCUUCCCUUUUUUCAUUUCCAUUUUGCUUUUUCCUUUUUCCUUUUUCC
RNAcentral lists this long non-coding RNA (1511 nucleotides) under Numida meleagris (helmeted guineafowl). RNAcentral describes it as "lncRNA (ENSNMEG00000004146.1)". The record is from RNAcentral. Lineage: Eukaryota; Metazoa; Chordata; Aves; Galliformes; Numididae.